RNAcentral lists this transfer RNA (80 nucleotides) under Planctomycetota bacterium. RNAcentral describes it as "Planctomycetes bacterium (groundwater metagenome) tRNA-Tyr". Lineage: Bacteria; Pseudomonadati; Planctomycetota. The record is from RNAcentral.
GGGCGCGCUGCCAAGUGGGAUUGGAGGCGGGCCGUAAACCCGUCGUCUCCGACUAGGGGGUUCGAUUCCUCACGCGCCCA